GACGAACGCUGGCGGCGUGCUUAACACAUGCAAGUCGAACGGAAAGGCCCUGCUUGCAGGGUAUUCGAGUGGCGAACGGGUGAGUAACACGUGGGUGAUCUGCCCUUCACUUCGGGAUAAGCCUGGGAAACUGGGUCUAAUUCCGGAUAGGUGCCAUUUUUAGUGUGAUGGUUGGAAAGUUUUUUCGGUGUAGGAUGAGCUCGCGACCUAUCGGCUUGUUGGUGGGGUAAUGGCCUACCAAGGCGGCGACGGGUAGCCGGCCUGAGAGUGUUGACGGCCACCUUGGGACUGAGAUACGGCCCACACUCCUACCGGAGGCCGCAGUGGGGAAUCUUGCACCAUGGGCGCAAGCCUGAUGCGGCGACGCCCCGUGGGGGAUGACGGCCUUCUGGUUGUAAGUUCCUUUCGCUAGGGACGAAGCUUUUUGUGACGGUACCUAGAUACGACGCACCGGCUAACUACGUG
RNAcentral lists this ribosomal RNA (465 nucleotides) under uncultured bacterium. RNAcentral describes it as "partial 16S ribosomal RNA". It matches the Rfam family "Bacterial small subunit ribosomal RNA", at positions 28 to 507 of the family's 1533-position model. The record is from RNAcentral.